AAAUCAUCAUGAUCUCCUGCUACAGCCCUGUCCCAAGACAACCUCCACGGCUAUGAACUCGACUAAUGAGAUAUCAUUUGACCCUGUGAUUCUUCAGGACCAGAUCUUGAUGCCAUCCACACCCAGUACAUGACAAAGAUGCUGUGACAAAAAGCAGUCAAGCCACUGCAUGUGAUGUGGAAGCCUCUAUGAAGACAUGGCUCCGUAAUCCCUGGGACAGAGAUGGGGGAAGGCAAGGAAGGGCCAGAACUGCAGAAAUACCAACUGUUGCCCCUGAGGGGAUUGAUUUUUAAUUUUCAAUCCCCUGUUUUCUGUGGUUAUUGCUGUUUUAAACUGUAUUAUCAUUAAUUAUAAUUAUUAUUAAAUAUAAAUAAAUUAUUUGGGGAAAAAAACAUGACCCUCGAUUUAUUGCUGCUAA
Molecule: non-coding RNA, 418 nt
Organism: Pimephales promelas (fathead minnow)
Lineage: Eukaryota; Metazoa; Chordata; Actinopteri; Cypriniformes; Leuciscidae
Source: RefSeq, a predicted model, not a curated record